UACGAAUGGGAGUAUCGUUGUUAGGAAUUACUGGGCGUAAAGCGCACGCAGGCGGAUUGAUCAGUCAGGGGUGAAAUCCCGGGGCUUAACCUCGGAAUUGCCUUUGAUACUGUCUGUCUUGAGUCCGGGAGAGGUGAGUGGAAUUCCUAGUGUAGAGGUGAAAUUCGUAGAUAUUAGGAAGAACACCAGUGGCGAAGGCGGCUCACUGGCCCGGAACUGACGCUCAUGUGCGAAAGCGUGGGGAGCAAACAGG
This 253-nucleotide ribosomal RNA is filed under the name uncultured bacterium. Its description in RNAcentral is "partial 16S ribosomal RNA". It matches the Rfam family "Bacterial small subunit ribosomal RNA", at positions 524 to 776 of the family's 1533-position model. The record is from RNAcentral.